RNAcentral lists this ribosomal RNA (459 nucleotides) under uncultured bacterium. Its description in RNAcentral is "partial 16S ribosomal RNA". It matches the Rfam family "Bacterial small subunit ribosomal RNA", at positions 338 to 795 of the family's 1533-position model. The record is from RNAcentral.
CCUACGGGAGGCAGCAGUGAGGAAUAUUGGUCAAUGGGCGCGAGCCUGAACCAGCCAAGUCGCGUGAGGGAAGACGGUCCUAUGGAUUGUAAACCUCUUUUGUCGGGGAGCAAAAGACGCCACGCGUGGCGUUCCGAGAGUACCCGAAGAAAAAGCAUCGUCUAACUCCGUGCCAGCAGCCGCGGUAAUACGGAGGAUGCGAGCGUUAUCCGGAUUUAUUGGGUUUAAAGGGUGCGCAGGCGGAAGAGCAAGUCAGCGGUAAAAUUGAGAGGCUCAACCUCUUCGAGCCGUUGAAACUGGUGUUCUUGAGUGAGUGAGAAGUAUGCGGAAUGCGUGGUGUAGCGGUGAAAUGCAUAGAUAUCACGCAGAACUCCGAUUGCGAAGGCAGCAUACCGGCGCUCAACUGACGCUCAUGCACGAAAGUGUGGGUAUCGAACAGGAUUAGAUACCCCAGUAGUC